UUUUUUUUUUUCAUGCCCGGCUAAGUGGUGAAGCAUUGAAACCAGAAAAUUUUCUGUUUUUUAGGGGCAAUGGUUGAAUUUUACAAUUUUGAUGUCAAAAUAUGAGGAUAUGCUGCAACAUCACAAGGAGUAGCGUCGAAUGGAGUAAAGGAAGCAGCAACAGCAACAAGAACGCUGCAGUGUUGAAGAAAACAGGGGAAGACAUGACAGUAGCAACAACUACAGACAAGGUUAACUAGGUUCCGGAUUCGGAUUCUGUAGACCCGCUAACUCUGCCAAUGAGAUUUGCCCUGCCAAGGUUAGAGCCACGCUCUUGAAGAAUAACUAAAUAAACAUACAUACAUGUAUGACAUGAGAUUGGUUUCAAAUGUUUAUCUGCAGGGGGCUUUUAAUGGGAAGAUUUUUUGUUUGUUGUUUUCUAAUGACUAAA
Molecule: long non-coding RNA, 430 nt
Organism: Gossypium arboreum
Lineage: Eukaryota; Viridiplantae; Streptophyta; Magnoliopsida; Malvales; Malvaceae
Exons: 2
Source: RefSeq, a predicted model, not a curated record